UAGCGGAGGGAUCAUUACCGAGUUUACAACUCCCAAACCCAAUGUGAACGUUACCAAACUGUUGCCUCGGCGGGAUUCUGCCCCGGGUGCGUCGCAGCCCCGGACCAAGGCGCCCGCCGGAGGACCAACCAAAACUCUUAUUGUAUACCCCCUCGCGGGUUUUUUUAUAAUCUGAGCCUUCUCGGCGCCUCUCGUAGGCGUUUCGAAAAUGAAUCAAAACUUUCAACAACGGAUCUCUUGGUUCUGGCAUCGAUGAAGAACGCAGCGAAAUGCGAUAAGUAAUGUGAAUUGCAGAAUUCAGUGAAUCAUCGAAUCUUUGAACGCACAUUGCGCCCGCCAGUAUUCUGGCGGGCAUGCCUGUCCGACCGUCAUUUCAACCCUCGAACCCCUCCGGGGGGUCGGCGUUGGGGAUCGGCCCUCCCUUAGCGGGUGGCCGUCUCCGAAAUACAGUGGCGGUCUCGCCGCAGCCUCUCCUGCGCAGUAGUUUGCACACUCGCAUCGGGAGCGCGGCGCGUCCACAGCCGUUAAACACCCAACUUCUGAAAUGUUGACCUCGGAUCAGGUAGGAA
This 569-nucleotide ribosomal RNA is filed under the name Trichoderma harzianum. Its description in RNAcentral is "eukaryotic LSU rRNA". The stretch from base 218 to 371 matches the Rfam family "5.8S ribosomal RNA". The record is from RNAcentral. Lineage: Eukaryota; Fungi; Ascomycota; Sordariomycetes; Hypocreales; Hypocreaceae.